AUGAUCGAGUGAGUGAUUGCUCGAACACGAAGUAAGAUAGCCCUUAGGCUUUAAUAAUUGAGUGAGUGAUUGCUUCAAACUCGAACUUGAAGUAUUCUUAGCCCGUAGUCCUUUUAUGAUCGAGUGAGUGAUUGCUCAAACUCGAAGUAAGAUAGCCCUUAGGCUUUAAUAAUUGAGUGAGUGAUUGUUUCGAACUCGAACUCAAAAUAUCUUAGCCCGUAGGCUUUUUAUGAUCGAGUGAGUGAUUGCUCGAACUCGAAGUAAGAUAGCCCGUAGGCUUUAAUAAUUAAGUGAGUAAUUGUUUCGAACUCGAACUCAGAGUAUCGUAGCCCGUAGGCCUUUUAUGAUCGAGUGAGUGAUUGCUCGAACUCGAAGUAAGAUAGCCCUUAGGCUUUAAUAAUUGAGUGAGUGAUUGCUCGAACUCGAAGUAAGAUAGCCCUUAGGCUUUAAUAAUUGAGUGAGUGAUUGUUUCGAACUCAAACUCAGAGUAUCAUAGCCCGUAGGCCUUUUAUGAUCGAGUGAGUGAUUGCUCGAACUCGAAGUAAGAUAGCCCUUAGGAUUUAAUAAUUGAGUGAGUGAUUGCUCGAACUCGAAGUAAGAUAGCCCUUAGGCUUUAAUAAUUGAGUGAAUGAUUGUUUCGAACUCGAACUCGAACUCAAAGUAUCUUAGCCCGUAGGCUUUUUAUGAUCGAGUGAGUGAUUGCUCAAACUCGAAGUAAGAUAGCCCUUAGGCUUUAAUAAUUGAGUGAGUGAUUGCUUGAACUCGAAGUAAGAUUGCCCUUAGGCUUUAAUAAUUGAGUGAGUGAUUGUUUCGAACUCAAACUCAGAGUAUCGUAGCCCGUAAGCCUUUUAUGAUCGAGUGAGUGAUUGCUCGAACUCGAAGUAAGAUAGCCCUUAGGCUUUAAUAAUUGAGUGAGUGAUUGUUUCGAACUCGAACUCAAAGUAUCUUAGCCCGUAGGCUUUUUAUGAUCGCUUGUAUCAAAAUCCUUUUGAUGGUGGUUGGCCUUUAAGCCUGUUUGAAUCAUGAAGCAGGAAGAUCUUUUCAAAGUGUGAGAUAUCUGAAAAAAGAAGAAGUUCUCCUUUAUAAGUCAUUGU
This 1094-nucleotide long non-coding RNA is filed under the name Nicotiana tabacum (common tobacco). RNAcentral describes it as "long non-coding RNA (NTAB_LNC008124)". The record is from RNAcentral. Lineage: Eukaryota; Viridiplantae; Streptophyta; Magnoliopsida; Solanales; Solanaceae.